Molecule: ribosomal RNA, 486 nt
Filed under: uncultured Gammaproteobacteria bacterium
Lineage: Bacteria; Pseudomonadati; Pseudomonadota; Gammaproteobacteria
Description: bacterial SSU rRNA
Rfam family: Bacterial small subunit ribosomal RNA
Source: RNAcentral
AGUCGGACGGUAGCACAGAGGAGCUUGCUCCUUUGGGUGACGAGUGGCGGACGGGGGAGUAAUGUCUGGGGAUCUGCCCGAUAGAGGGGGAUAACCACUGGAAACGGUGGCUAAUACCGCAUAACGUCGCAAGACCAAAGAGGGGGACCUUCGGGCCUCUCACUAUCGGAUGAACCCAGAUGGGAUUAGCUAGUAGGCGGGGUAGUGGCCCACCUAGGCGACGAUCCCUAGCUGGUCUGAGAGGAUGACCAGCCACACUGGAACUGAGACACGGUCCAGACUCCUACGGGAGGCAGCAGUGGGGAAUAUUGCACAAUGGGCGCAAGCCUGAUGCAGCCAUGCCGCGUGUAUGAAGAAGGCCUUCGGGUUGUAAAGUACUUUCAGCGGGGAGGAAGGCGAUGCGGUUAAUAACCGAGUCGAUUGACGUUACCCGCAGAAGAAGCACCGGCUAACUCCGUGCCAGCAGCCGCGGUAAUACGGAGGGUG